Molecule: long non-coding RNA, 223 nt
Organism: Nematostella vectensis (starlet sea anemone)
Lineage: Eukaryota; Metazoa; Cnidaria; Anthozoa; Actiniaria; Edwardsiidae
Exons: 3
Source: RefSeq, a predicted model, not a curated record
CAGCCAUGAAUAAGCAGUCAAGCGGACGGGGCGCGGGGAUAAAUAGAGCAGUUCUUUCUCUGUGAUUCAAGUCUUACUUGGAGACAAGCACAAGAAAUCCACUUCUUCAACAAAAGGUUGAUUCGAGAACAUGGCCUCGUUCAAGAUCGUUAUCGUUUGCUUGGCACUUUUGGUUGCCGUCGCCUGCGCUCGCCGCCGCGACAUGAUGUCCGAUGAUGAGCUU